UACGGAGGAGGCAAGCGUUAUCCGGAAUUAUUGGGCGUAAAGCGUCCGCAGGUGGCACCUCAAGUCUGCUGUCAAAGACCGGGGCUUAACCCCAGGAAGGCAGUGGAAACUGAAGUGCUAGAGUGCAGUAGGGGUAGAGGGAAUUCCCGGUGUAGCGGUGAAAUGCGUAGAGAUCGGGAAGAACAUCGGUGGCGAAAGCGCUCUGCUGGACUGCAACUGACACUCAGGGACGAAAGCUAGGGGAGCGAAUGGG
Molecule: ribosomal RNA, 253 nt
Filed under: uncultured bacterium
Lineage: Bacteria
Description: partial 16S ribosomal RNA
Rfam family: Bacterial small subunit ribosomal RNA
Source: RNAcentral